This 497-nucleotide ribosomal RNA is filed under the name uncultured bacterium. RNAcentral describes it as "partial 16S ribosomal RNA". It matches the Rfam family "Bacterial small subunit ribosomal RNA", at positions 28 to 507 of the family's 1533-position model. The record is from RNAcentral.
GAUGAACGCUGGCGGCGUGCCUAAUACAUGCAAGUCGAGCGAACAGACGAGGAGCUUGCUCCUCUGACGUUAGCGGCGGACGGGUGAGUAACACGUGGAUAACCUACCUAUAAGACUGGGAUAACUUCGGGAAACCGGAGCUAAUACCGGAUAAUAUAUUGAACCGUAUGGUUCAAUAGUGAAAGACGGUUUUGCUGUCACUUAUAGAUGGAUCCGCGCCGCAUUAGCUAGUUGGUAAGGUAACGGCUUACCAAGGCAACGAGGCGUAGCCGACCUGAGAGGGUGAUCGGCCACACUGGAACUGGGACACGGUCCAGACUCCUACGGGAGGCAGCAGUAGGGAAUCUUCCGCAAUGGGCGAAAGCCUGACGGAGCAACGCCGCGUGAGUGAUGAAGGUCUUCGGAUCGUAAAACUCUGUUAUUAGGGAAGAACAAAUGUGUAAGUAACUAUGCACGUCUUGACGGUACCUAAUCAGAAAGCCACGGCUAACUACGUG